GGGCUCUUCUCAAGGAAAGAAU
Molecule: ribosomal RNA, 22 nt
Filed under: Phytophthora megasperma
Lineage: Eukaryota; Oomycota; Peronosporomycetes; Peronosporales; Peronosporaceae
Description: partial 18S ribosomal RNA
Source: RNAcentral